This 1194-nucleotide long non-coding RNA is filed under the name Mus musculus (house mouse). RNAcentral's name for it is "long non-coding RNA chr15:82141006-82142200". Lineage: Eukaryota; Metazoa; Chordata; Mammalia; Rodentia; Muridae. The record is from RNAcentral.
GGGCCUAAGGAAUCAGCAAUGGCCAGUCAGAAGAGGCAGCAACUGUGUGGCUGUGGAAUAGGCCCAGCAAGCACCUUGCUGAGCACCAGCCACUUCCUGAUGGGAACUGUUUGCUGCGCCCUCAGAAGCCAGGGUUGAGCUCUGGCCAAAAAGACUGAGCUUCCAGGGUCUUGCAGCACACCACAGAAAGGACACUGCUCGGCAGACAGGAUCAUGCAGGGAAGCUGCGGGAGGAGGCUGGCUGAAGGAACUUCUGGCCUGGAUCCCCUUGGUGAGGGCAGGCUGCAGGCCACUGCCGCCCUUGAUAAGGAAGCAACAGAACCAGGCUCUGAGUUACAAGUGAAGGUGCUAUGCUUGCAGCCAGUCUCACUGUGUUCCUGGGCUGCCUGUCACUGGUCCAGCUCUCUGCAGAACAGUACUAAAAGCUAGCAAAUCCACUGGCCUCCCCCAGGCUGGUGAGGAGAAUGUAAGGGGCAGCAGGAACUGCUGCAGAUGUCAGGACCAGCCUGGAGAACGUUUCUGCCUCGGAAAGAGGGAGUCCCUGGCUCUGCAGUGCAGAGAAGCAAGAGCUAGGCUUAGGUCUCUCUCUCUCUCUCUCUCACUCACUGCUGCCCUUCAUGACAGGCCAGUUUCCAGAGGGGACUCAGAAGUGUCCUGAGAGGGUGUUUAUUUCAAGGAGACCUUAAAAGAACAUGAUCUCUAUUCUCAGAUAACUGGGGACAGUCAUUGAGCUGGUUCAGGGGACAAUCAACUUGUUCUCUCUGCUGCUAAAAGAUCCUGUCUAUGGGGGACAGGUUGCAGGAGGCUGUGCUUUGUGAUGGGAUACUGUAGCUGGAUUGACUAGACAGUGGCUCAGAGUCCCGUGGCCACAGAGCAGGAGGCUACAGAGCAGGAAGCUAUGCAAGGAGUUAGGCCUUCAGAAGGCAGCCUGGUUUCUAUGAGUCUCAAGGCAGGUGGCUGCCUUGGUUCUAUUGAAAUUACAGCUCCACCUCUUUGAUCUUGCCAAGCCAAAAUGUAUCGCUUAUAGGAGUGGAGACACCCCAGCCCGACCUCUACCUUCAAGUGCAGGUGUUGCUAACAGUGCUCAAUUGAGACCUGAGUCUUAGCCUGACCUGUCCUGUUCUUUCUCUUCCCUGUGCUGUGCCUUCAUUGGUAAAAUAAAUUUGAUGGUGUCUGAAUCCUCUGACAAGCUCU